This is an unclassified non-coding RNA of Erinaceus europaeus (western European hedgehog), 287 nucleotides long. Its record names the gene 7SK. It matches the Rfam family "7SK RNA". Rfam says of the family: 7SK was discovered as an abundant small nuclear RNA in the mid-70s but a possible function has only recently been suggested. Two independent studies have found that 7SK RNA binds the CDK9/cyclin T complex (known as elongation factor P-TEFb). P-TEFb activates transcription by phosphorylating the C-terminal domain of RNA polymerase II. The record is from Ensembl. NCBI's taxonomy places the organism in Eukaryota, Metazoa, Chordata, Mammalia, Eulipotyphla, Erinaceidae.
AGAUGUGAGGGCAAUCUGGCUGCGAUGUCUGUCACUCCAUUGAUCGCCGGGGUUGAUUCAGCUGAUCUGGCUGGCUAGGCGGGUAUCCCCUUCCUUCCUCACCACUCCAUAUGCCUUCCCCAAGUAGAGAUAGACAGUCUUCAAUCAAGGGUACACAAUUAGCUGCACUCCUCUGUUAGAACCUCCAAACAAGCUCUCAGGGUCCAAUUUCUUAUCUCCCUGUGAUAGGUGUCCACAGAAUACUCUCACCUCCAACUUAGGUCUUUUCCCCCUAUCGUGCACUAGGG